Molecule: long non-coding RNA, 235 nt
Filed under: Ananas comosus (pineapple)
Lineage: Eukaryota; Viridiplantae; Streptophyta; Magnoliopsida; Poales; Bromeliaceae
Description: long non-coding RNA (ACOM_LNC028556)
Source: RNAcentral
AAUCUUCGGUACAAGAAUAGUUUUUUUUUUUUUUUUUGAGAUAUAGAUAGUACGCUAUCUGUUUCGUUUAUUUCAUUUAGAAAUAAACUUAGCUGGAAAAUAAACUUAACUGAAAAUGUGAAUCAACUAGAAUUCGAAUUUGGAUCUCGAAUACCAACCACGAAGCCUUUUGCCACUUGCUCUAAAGACAGUCGGUUACAAAAAUAGGUAGUGUUUUAGUUUUGAGGGUAUCUUG